Molecule: ribosomal RNA, 253 nt
Filed under: uncultured bacterium
Lineage: Bacteria
Description: partial 16S ribosomal RNA
Rfam family: Bacterial small subunit ribosomal RNA
Source: RNAcentral
UACGUAGGGGGCGAGCGUUGUCCGGAAUUAUUGGGCGUAAAGAGCGUGUAGGCGGUUUGGUAAGUCUGCUGUGAAAACCUGGGGCUCAACCCCGGGCGUGCGGUGGAUACUGCCGGGCUAGAGGGUGGUAGAGGCGAGUGGAAUUCCUGGUGUAGCGGUGAAAUGCGCAGAUAUCAGGAAGAACACCCGUGGCGAAGGCGGCUCUCUGGGACGGUACUGACGCUGAGGCGCGAAAGCGUGGGGAGCGAACAGG